UAUGUUUAUUAAUUACCAUUAGGGUGGGUGUGUAGUUCGGUUGGGAGGACUGUAUUCUGAGGAUACUGGAGUACAGAACUAUUAUUCACGGGGUGGAGAAUUUACAGGCAAACCUGAUGGACUAAUAAACUUUAUUCACUAUCAGGACGCAGCUUCUGCUGUUGUUAGCUGCCUGCAAAGCCCGGAGAAGGUUGGAGGAGAAGUUCUUCUGGUUGGAGAUGGUAUUCCUGUCUCGAGAAAUCAGAUUGUUGAAUAUAUUCAAGCUUCAACUAAAUACCGUGGUGGACCAGAAAUCAAGUUUACUGGAGGCGACGGGGUUGACGGCAAGAAGUACAACUGUUCAAAGAUCAAGAAUCUGCUGGGUUGGAAACUUGAGUAUCCAUCUUUCAAGGACUUCAUUACAAACCUGUGAUUUAUUCUUUUAUUGUGAAGUGCAAAGUUCUUUCAAUUAUACAAUUUACACAGAUCGCGAACAUAUGAUCUGAUCAUCUGUGAUAAUUCUUGUUAAAUAUUUUAUAAUUUUUGAUAACUUGUUUUUCUUCCAUUUUAUCCUUAUAUUUGAUAAUAAUACAUUUAGAUUAUUGCCUAAAAGACCAUGUUAAAAGAACUGUAGAGUGUAGACGUAAUUUCUAGCUCGGCACUCCAUUUAGAGAAGAGCAUUUCAAAUUGACAACUGCACCGUACAAACUUCUUUCGAGUAACAAUGAAAAGAUCGUCGUUUUGUCUUUCUUGGCAAGAGUAAAAAAGAGUUUCUAUCAUUGUCUCUUUAGCAUGAAAGUUUUAAAGAGAAACCACGAUUACAAACAAUUCAUUUUCAAACAGAAAAUGAAGGGUAUCUUAAACACCCUUUAUCAGAGAAAGGUUCCAGUGUAAUUUUUUGAACUCCGACUCGCCACUCUGAAAUUACGUCUUGUGUCCGUUGUGAGUCGAACGUAUGACAUGAUAAAGAUUUAUAUUUUUGAGAUAUUUUAGUUUCAUUUUCAG
Long non-coding RNA from Eurytemora carolleeae, 984 nucleotides. RefSeq lists it as uncharacterized. The record is from RefSeq and is a predicted model, not a curated record. The transcript has 3 exons. NCBI's taxonomy places the organism in Eukaryota, Metazoa, Arthropoda, Copepoda, Calanoida, Temoridae.